UAACUUGCUUGACUAGGUCUUAUCAAGUUCUGGAUAAAGCUUAUUAUGAAAACUUUAUAUCCAUAGGUCUCGACCAAAUCUUGUGCCAGCAGUCGCGGUAAGACAAGGGAGACGAGUGUUAUUCAUCUUUAACAGGUAUAUAGGGUACCUAGACGGUGUGCAAUGGCUUAAAUAAGUACCUGGUACACUUGAGUUUGAUAUG
RNAcentral lists this ribosomal RNA (202 nucleotides) under Alternaria solani. RNAcentral's name for it is "partial small subunit ribosomal RNA". The record is from RNAcentral. Lineage: Eukaryota; Fungi; Ascomycota; Dothideomycetes; Pleosporales; Pleosporaceae.